Molecule: ribosomal RNA, 301 nt
Filed under: uncultured bacterium
Lineage: Bacteria
Description: partial 16S ribosomal RNA
Rfam family: Bacterial small subunit ribosomal RNA
Source: RNAcentral
CAGCAGCCACGGUAAUACAGAGGGUGCGAGCGUUAAUCGGAUUUACUGGGCGUAAAGCGUGCGUAGGCGGCUUUUUAAGUCGGAUGUGAAAUCCCUGAGCUUAACUUAGGAAUUGCAUUCGAUACUGGGAAGCUAGAGUAUGGGAGAGGAUGGUAGAAUUCCAGGUGUAGCGGUGAAAUGCGUAGAGAUCUGGAGGAAUACCGAUGGCGAAGGCAGCCAUCUGGCCUAAUACUGACGCUGAGGUACGAAAGCAUGGGGAGCAAACAGGAUUAGAUACCCGCGUAGUCCUGUCUCUUAUACA